This is a long non-coding RNA of Vicia villosa (hairy vetch), 2083 nucleotides long. RefSeq lists it as uncharacterized. The record is from RefSeq and is a predicted model, not a curated record. Lineage: Eukaryota; Viridiplantae; Streptophyta; Magnoliopsida; Fabales; Fabaceae. The transcript has 4 exons.
UACCCUUAACAUUUUCUCUUUCAUUUUUCCAAUAUGCAAAAGGUGAACGCGCUCUGUCUUCUUCGUUCUCUCUGAAAACCCUAGCGCCGCCGUCGAACAUCCUUCUGCCUCUCCCUCCGUCACCUCACCUCCAAUCGAAGAUAGGAGGUCAUUUUUGUGCUCAUCAUCACGUGACCUUUAACUGGAACCAGUUGGAUUUUUGUAUUAGACAAUGUCACUUCCAGCCACCCUCUCACUACCUCCGGCCGCCGCGACUCUAGACGAUGAACGAGAGCCUUUUCUGCUCCGUUCAUAUUUCAGCAAAUAGCAAGAAAAGUUAUGCAACCUGUUUUCACUAGCUAAGCCCUCCACCUCUUGCUUCUGAGGUUAGUGAAAAAUCUUUGUGAUGUUCCCAAAGAGAAAACUAUGUUAAUGGAGAAAAGCUCUAAUGGUUCAAUUGGUUCUCUAGGAGAGAAAGCUGUAGUGUUUUGUUUUCUCAGUGGACGGGAUGCUAGAUUUACUUGAAAAGUGUCUUAAUUCAGUAUAGAAAACUUGAUGGAACAAUGUUUUGGUAAGCUUGAUUUAUUGUCUUUCUCGUCUUUAAUUUUACCUCAUUUAUGAGUCUGUUUUACAUUGUAAUUGGUUAGGUGUAUUGCAAUUCUUAAGCUUUUUUGUAUUGUGUGUGAAGGAGUCAGCAUCACGAAGUUGGAUGCUAUAAUGAAUUUAAUGAAAUCACACUAUGAUGUUGUGGUGUUGAACAGGAAUAGGUGGAUUUGAUAAAGAUGCAGCUACAGAAAGUUAUAAGGGAGGAAAGGACCACAUAACUGGUAUUGUUUAAAGACAGCACAUAAGUCACCCUCUGUUUGACCAAACCCUCCUUUAUUUUAAUUCAUCCAGUGUUAACUGCCGGGUCUUAGUAAUUUUAAUGUUCUGAUACAAGUUGUGUGGUGCAGUGUUCGACGUCACUGAUCCUGAAAUGUUCUAUACUAAGAAGGUAAUGUUGAAUAUUUACCAUUUGACAUACAAAAUUGAAACUUACUAUAUUUAUAUUUAUCUGCUUGCCGCGAUUCAAGUUCUUGUGUUACAAUUGCGACAGAUAGCAACUCGGUGGUAUAGGGCACCUGAAGUUUUGUUUCAUAACAGUCAAUAUUCAACUCCAAUUGAUAUUUGGACCGUGGGCUCAUCAUAUUGGGGAUGGGGGAGAGUCUUGUUUUUGGGGUGACUGUUGAGUGGGUGGAGUCGAGCUUAAAAUGAGUUCAAGCUUUGAUGAAAAUUAAGAACUCUUUGAUGGAUCCUUACCAAAUCUUCAAACUGUAGGUAAAACUUGUAGGUGUUCCGGAAAUGAACUAUACAUCUGAUGAUCAGCCGAACCCCCGUGGUGAAAUUUGUAUUAGGGGUCCCAUUAUUUUUCAAGGAUAUUACAAAGAUGAAGUUCAAACGUAACCACUUCGCCUGUUCUAUGGUUCUUGUUAAUUUGAGUUACCAUGGCGUAUUUACAGUGUUCCUGAUUUUUGUUUAUUUGAAAAGCUAACUAAAUUGUUGAAGAUGUAUGGUGAUCGGGUGGAAAGUGGAGCGAGGAGGAGGUCUGUCAAGGAACGUCAUGAUGGGAGCAUCAGUGUAUCUACUUGGCAGCAACGCCAAGUCACCGGCAAGAGGUUUGCACUUUGGAGUUUUUAUUCGUUCAUGCUGUUAGUAUAAUGAUUAUACUUCGUUUAGUUGUUUAAUAUUUGCAAUGUAAUGUUAGAUUUUUGUUCAGUUUUAGUAAUGUCGGUGAUAGAUUAAAACACUUAGUAUAUGAGAGCUCAAGAAGAGAACUACCUUGUAUAUAGUUUGUAAAUGCUGAAGAGAAUGUUUCUGUAUUAUUAAAUCUUGGCUGUUGAUUGAACCCUUUACUGAGAACACUAUGUCCUUAUUAUCAUUAUUUAUUAUUAUUUUUUUAACUUUCUCAUUCAAUCCCAAAGGUAAACAUUGUUAUGAAAUGAAAUUAGCCUUCCACUUGGUUUCAGAUCCUAUCUUAUAUCCCCUUCCCCCAUCUCUAUAUUUUCUUAAAGUUUAGAACUUUGUAUUGUAGUUAUCAUAUAGAUUAAAAUCAGUUGAUUGUUGU